GACGAACGCUGGCGGCGUGCUUAACACAUGCAAGUCGAGCGGUAAGGCCCUUUCGGGGGUACACGAGCGGCGAACGGGUGAGUAACACGUGGGUGACCUGCCCUCAGCUCUGGGAUAAGCCUGGGAAACUGGGUCUAAUACCGGAUAUGACCUUGCCUCGCAUAGGGUGGGGUGGAAAGUCCUGGGCUUGAUUGUCUGGGCUCGGCUGGGGAUGGGCCCGCGGCCUAUCAGCUUGUUGGUGGGGGAUGGCCUACCAAGGCGACGACGGGUAGCCGGCCUGAGAGGGCGACCGGCCACACUGGGACUGAGACACGGCCCAGACUCCUACGGGAGGCAGCAGUGGGGAAUAUUGCGCAAUGGGCGGAAGCCUGACGCAGCGACGCCGCGU
RNAcentral lists this ribosomal RNA (388 nucleotides) under uncultured bacterium. RNAcentral describes it as "bacterial SSU rRNA". It matches the Rfam family "Bacterial small subunit ribosomal RNA", at positions 28 to 402 of the family's 1533-position model. The record is from RNAcentral.